GCUCUCCACUUGGCAAAAUAUUAAACAAGAACUGGACCGCACAAGCUGCAGUUGAAUCCCGAGUCAGCAAGGUUCCAUUCUAUUUAAAGGGUACCCAAUUCCGGGGACAAAUAAGCACUUUCUUAUGCAAGGAAAUCGCUCUGCACUUUUUUUUUUUUUUUGAGAGGAAGGGAUUAAACCCAGGGCCUUGUGCAUGCUAGACAAGAACUCUACCACUGAGCUGUAUCUCAGCCCCUACACUUAUGUUUUGUUUUGUUUGAGACAGAGCCUCACUUUGUAGUUCAGGUUGGCCUUGAACUCACUAUGCAGUCCAGACUGGUCUCAAACUCAUGUUGAUCCUACUGCUUCAGCCUCCCAAGUACUGGGAUUACAGGAGUGUCCCCCAUGCCUGGCUCCCACACUUAUUUUAAAAAAGGCAUUCUAGGCUGGGCGUGGUGGUACACACCUAUGAUUCCAGCACUCCGAGACUGAAGCAGGAGGGUCACUGUGAGUUCAAGGCCAGGCUGAACUACAUAGGGUGACCCUGUCUCAAACAAACAAAAAGCCAACAAAUAAAAGAGAAGAAAGUAGUGCGGCUGUGCCAGUGUGUGUUUCUGAGAAACACCCAGUUUCUCCUCUCCCUCUGGUUAUCAGCCAAGCCCCACCCCCAGGCUCCGCCUGUUCUAACCCACGUGGACCCCAUUCCCCACCUUUCAAUCCUAACCUCUUUUUCCUCUUCCUCUUCUUGCCUUGUGGCUGGCCACUCUGCAGCCCCUUCUGUGAGUUCUCCCUCACGAAGGCCAGGGUGAUGAUUUCUUUCAGAUCUUCCAUGGCGCCGUCCUCCCUGUCUUCGGAGGCAGCCCCUUCCUCACCUUGCAACGUCAGGCACUGGAGAAUUUUCCUGGCCUGGGCCGAGCCUCUGGGGCAAUCCCAGCCCUCCCUGGAGAGAGGGCGGAGGAAGCCGCAGUUACGGGGAUCCACCUGCAGGGGGACCCCCUCCCUUGCUCAGGGAGCGGUGAACCCGGGUUCCAGUCCUGGUGACAGGCGGCCGUUUGGUACAUGCUCCCCGCCCCCCGCCUCCGCCGUUGGUGCAAUAUCGGUUGGGAGUGGUUGCACCUUGUGCCACUGAGUGUGGCCUUGGGGACUUUCUCAGCCAAGCCUGUUCUGGGUUUUGGCCUCCUGGGGUUUUCUGUAGCAGGCUGAGAUGCUAUGCAUGGCGCUGGCUGGUAAACAAUCUUCUUAUUAACGCGGGUGGGUGUCUGGGGACAGCUCAGAGCAAGCCGGAGCCUCAGGCCUGCCGGGCAGAGGGAGAUGGUCCCAGCAAGCGCAGCCAGCCUGCAAUCUGCGACUGAGCUACAUCUGAGCAACCAGAGGGAUCAGAAGAAGAAGAAGAAGAAGAAGAAGAAGAAGAAGAAGAGGGCUGCCACUAAACUCAAGCCCUCUAAGAUGAUGCCAACGCACAAGGAUAGAGCUGUACUCAGAACACGGACAGAUCAGGCGGGGUCACGGUGAACCAGUCUUCCAGAAGGCACAGGCCUGUUCUUGGCAACCUCUGAGAGAACAGACCGAGGAACUCAAAGUCCUGACCUUGAGCUGCUCCCUCUGGGGUAAACGGCCCGCUCCACUCCCGGGUCUGAACAACCAAUGGGGCUCCUGGCCAAGCCCUGGGGAGGUGCGGCCGUUUACCCAAAGGUUAAUGUUAACCCGGAGAACUGGCCGCACUUGACCCUUGCAGCUGCGAGUCCUCUGGGACCUUUGAGCCGUCCUUGCCCAGGUGGGGAGAACAGGCCGGGUGCUCAGAUCUCUCUCCCUCAGAGAGAGCAACUGAAAGAGAGGGAAAGCGACAAACUGCUUCCCCAAGCGGCUGAGGCCCCAAGGCCGCUUGCUGCAGUCCUGCAUUCCAGGGCCCUGGGGAUGGCGGCCCAGACACAGGCACGAGUGACAGCAGCAGUCCCUGGGAGGACCAAGUCUGCUUUGUCCCUGGUCUCCUUUCUUCCUCUCUCCCUACCCACUCCUCCCUGUUUAAUGCCCAAGGCCGCAUCCUGCUGGCUUCUCUCCAAAGGCUGCAAAUAUCUCCUUCAAAGGUUUCCUGCAGGGGCCCAGAGCCUGAAUCUCCUGGUAGCUCACAACUCAUAGAAAUGUUCACUUGGCUCUUGGAGGUGCAUUGUUAUUGCUAUAGUUGUUCAAUAGAAGUAGUUGCCAAUAACUAGAAAAUGCAGAUUUCGCAUCAAAAAACCAGAUUUCUUUUCUUUUCUUUUCUUUUUGGAGACACAGUCUCACUCUGUAGCCCAGGCUGACCUCAAACUGGAGGCGAUCCUCCUGCUUCAGCCUCCUGAGUGCUGGGAUUACAGACAUAUGCCACCAAGCCUGGCUGUGCUAUUUUAUUUUUAAGUAUCAGCCUUGGGUCCUUUCUAUACAGUGAAAACAGUCUCAUUCUCUUACAAGACUUGCUCCUACUUCUGACCUACUUGCCAGGCCAUAGAGUCUAUCCAGAAGCAUGUUACAGACACAAUCCCUCGCCCUUGAGAUACCCUUCGAGACAGUCUUUCUGCUUCUACAGAUGAGAAGCUCAGGCAUUGUAGGGCACCCCUGGGCUUGGAGCGGGCCUGGAGAUUGUGGGCCCCUAAGAAUCAGUGAGUCCCACACCACUUUCCUCAACGCCAACCGCUUCGCAGUUCCUACUCCCAACCAGGGGCUUGGAUCGCCUGGACUUCCAUAAACAAGGCCAACUGUACUGUUACCACAUUGCAUUUAUUUUCACUCUUUUUUCUCCUCCCUUUAAUGAAUAUCCAC
RNAcentral lists this long non-coding RNA (2772 nucleotides) under Heterocephalus glaber (naked mole-rat). RNAcentral describes it as "lncRNA (ENSHGLG00000031892.1)". The record is from RNAcentral. Lineage: Eukaryota; Metazoa; Chordata; Mammalia; Rodentia; Bathyergidae.